RNAcentral lists this long non-coding RNA (613 nucleotides) under Homo sapiens (human). Its description in RNAcentral is "HSALNT0288188". The record is from RNAcentral. Lineage: Eukaryota; Metazoa; Chordata; Mammalia; Primates; Hominidae.
CUGAGUGAGGCCUGACGCCCAACGUUGCAAAUGUCAGCCUGGACUGGACUUCCCCUUCAACGGUCGUUCUUCUAGGUUACAAAGAAAAUCAAAGUCCUUUGCAUGGCUUACAAGGGACUGGAGGACCUGACUUCUUGCUCUUUUAUUGCUUUUGAGGACAUGGGGCUGUCUGUGAUUUUUAAGGAACUCUGUUAAACAUUUUCUAAUUUCCAUUUUGAGUCUUGUCUAAAAUGUGUGAGAGUAGUGGAGAUAUUGGGAUUAGGUUUAGAAAUCCCAGAAACACCACAUCCAGAUGUCCUAUGUUUUCUGCUUUAUAAUUUCAUAUCCUGUGAAGGUUUCAAAUAUGAUUCUACAGAAAUUCAUACUCAAUAAUUUAAUCAGAACACUAAGCCUCUGCCCCAUAAAAGAAAACCAAAUGUUAUUUUAUUUCAAAAUUUUACGUUUUUGGUAUGUAUUGAGGCUAAUACUGUAAACACUCUGUGCCAUAAUUCCUAAACUGUAAUAUGGUAUAAUGUAUCUACUUUCUACAUUUAAAACAUGUACUUUGCCAUUGAAGAACUUAGAAUAUUGCUGAGCAUGUAUUAAAUACCCAUUUUUUUCUUGAUUUUUAAUA